UGAGGAAUAUUGGGCAAUGGGCGAAAGCCUGACCCAGCCACGCCGCGUGAGUGAUGAAGGCCUUCGGGUCGUAAAGCUCUGUGGGGAGGGACGAAAAAGCGCAGUAGGAAAUGACUGCGCCUUGACGGUACCUCCUUAGCAAGCACCGGCUAACUCUGUGCCAGCAGCCGCGGUAAUACAGAGGGUGCGAACGUUGCUCGGAUUUACUGGGCGUAAAGCGCGUGUAGGCGCGAAUG
RNAcentral lists this ribosomal RNA (236 nucleotides) under uncultured prokaryote. RNAcentral's name for it is "partial 16S ribosomal RNA". It matches the Rfam family "Bacterial small subunit ribosomal RNA", at positions 355 to 583 of the family's 1533-position model. The record is from RNAcentral.